UUAAGUCCCGCAACGAGCGCAACCCCUACGUUUAGUUGCUAACGCGUGAAGGCGAGCACUCUAGACGAACUGCCGUUGACAAAACGGAGGAAGGUGGGGAUGACGUCAAAUCAUCAUGCCCCUUAUGUUCUGGGCUACACACGCGCUACAAUGGCCGGUACAGACGGACGCAAAGCCGCGAGGUGGAGCAAAUCCUAAAAAGCCGGUCUCAGUUCGGAUUGCAGGCUGCAAUUCGCCUGCAUGAAGUCGGAAUCGCUAGUAAUCGCAGGUCAGCAUACUGCGGUGAAUACGUUCCCGGGCCUU
RNAcentral lists this ribosomal RNA (303 nucleotides) under uncultured Pelotomaculum sp. Its description in RNAcentral is "bacterial SSU rRNA". It matches the Rfam family "Bacterial small subunit ribosomal RNA", at positions 1080 to 1382 of the family's 1533-position model. Lineage: Bacteria; Bacillati; Bacillota; Clostridia; Eubacteriales; Desulfotomaculaceae. The record is from RNAcentral.